GAUGAACGCUGGCGGCGUGCCUAAUACAUGCAAGUAGAACGCUGAAGGAAGGAGCUUGCUCUUUCCGGAUGAGUUGCGAACGGGUGAGUAACGCGUAGGUAACCUGCCUGGUAGCGGGGGAUAACUAUUGGAAACGAUAGCUAAUACCGCAUAACAGUAGAUGUUGCAUGACAACUAUUUGAAAGGGGCAAUUGCUCCACUACCAGAUGGACCUGCGUUGUAUUAGCUAGUUGGUGAGGUAACGGCUCACCAAGGCGACGAUACAUAGCCGACCUGAGAGGGUGAUCGGCCAAACUGGGACUGAGACACGGCCCAGACUCCUACGGGAGGCAGCAGUAGGGAAUCUUCGGAAAGGGACGGAAGUCUGACCGAGCAACGCCGCGGGAGGGAAGAAGGUUUUCGGAUCGUAAAGCUCUGUUGUAAGAGAAGAAAGAGUGUGAGAGUGGAAAGUUCACACUGUGACGGUAUCUUAACAGAAAGGGACGGCUAACUACGUG
Molecule: ribosomal RNA, 497 nt
Filed under: uncultured bacterium
Lineage: Bacteria
Description: partial 16S ribosomal RNA
Rfam family: Bacterial small subunit ribosomal RNA
Source: RNAcentral